GACAACAAAAGAGGAAGUAAAGACAUCGCUGACAACAACAUCAAAUCAACCAGACGAUUAUCUGUAUUUGCUGAGAUGCAUCAUUGUGUCUGUGGGUUUAGCAGCACUCUUAAUAUCUGCUGUUACAGUCAACAUGUGGACAAAUACUAAAGG
Long non-coding RNA from Oreochromis niloticus (Nile tilapia), 153 nucleotides. RefSeq lists it as uncharacterized. The transcript has 2 exons. Lineage: Eukaryota; Metazoa; Chordata; Actinopteri; Cichliformes; Cichlidae. The record is from RefSeq and is a predicted model, not a curated record.